RNAcentral lists this ribosomal RNA (527 nucleotides) under Hanseniaspora uvarum. Its description in RNAcentral is "eukaryotic LSU rRNA". It matches the Rfam family "Eukaryotic large subunit ribosomal RNA", at positions 50 to 576 of the family's 3401-position model. The record is from RNAcentral. Lineage: Eukaryota; Fungi; Ascomycota; Saccharomycetes; Saccharomycodales; Saccharomycodaceae.
UCGGAGGAAAAGAAACCAACUGGGAUUACCUUAGUAACGGCGAGUGAAGCGGUAAAAGCUCAAAUUUGAAAUUUGGUACUUUCAGUGCCCGAGUUGUAAUUUGUAGAAUUUGUCUUUGAUUAGGUCCUUGUCUAUGUUCCUUGGAACAGGACGUCAUAGAGGGUGAGAAUCCCGUUUGGCGAGGAUACCUUUUCUCUGUAAGACUUUUUCGAAGAGUCGAGUUGUUUGGGAAUGCAGCUCAAAGUGGGUGGUAAAUUCCAUCUAAAGCUAAAUAUUGGCGAGAGACCGAUAGCGAACAAGUACAGUGAUGGAAAGAUGAAAAGAACUUUGAAAAGAGAGUGAAAAAGUACGUGAAAUUGUUGAAAGGGAAGGGCAUUUGAUCAGACAUGGUGUUUUUUGCAUGCACUCGCCUCUCGUGGGCUUGGGCCUCUCAAAAAUUUCACUGGGCCAACAUCAAUUCUGGCAGCAGGAUAAAUCAUUAAGAAUGUAGCUACUUCGGUAGUGUUAUAGCUUUUUGGAAUACUGUU